UUCUGCAUACAUUUUUGUUUGAACAUCUGCUUUCAGUUCUUUUUGGUAUAUACCUAGGAGUGGAAUUGCUGGGUCAAGCGGUAAUUCUGUGCUUAACUUGAUGAACCACCGAACUGUUUUCCAUGGUGGCUGCACCUGCAUCAUUUUGCAUUCCCACCAGUGGUGAUGAAGCUUCCAAUUUCUCCCAGAUCAUGAUUUAACACUCAUUUUUAUUAAAUGCAACAACCCUUCCUGCAUCUGGCCUGAGUGUCCUGGGCCAGCCAACUGCUUGCUCUCCAUCUUUCCUGUUUGGUCAGAGGCCCUGGGUGCAGCCAGUGGGUUACGCACUCUGAUCCCCUCAGUGACUUCUCCUGGGAGGUCACCAAGGAUACUCAUUCAGUCAGGUCUUCCAGAGCCACAGUGUUGAUCCUGCAGUGAGGACAUGAGUGUGCAGUGACUGGACUCUCUCAGGCAGUCGUGGAAGCAGAGGAUUGCUCUGGCCAGCCUGGAGACAGUUCCCAUUGGUUCCUGGACUUGAUCUGAAUCAACUCCUUCUUCCUCACCAUCUCUUGCCUGGUGCUGCUGGCUGAGACGUUGCACCUGUGGGGGCUGUCCACUCCCAGCUCACGUCUUCUGGCAGCUCCUUACUCUAUUCUAAUGCGCCUAGUGGUACUGCCGAUUUUCUCUUUUCCCAGACACCUCUCUCCACACUCCUUCUCCCACAUUGGCCUGGCCCUCAUGGCUCUUUGAUCCUCAUGGAACAUUCUAUUGUCUCCUAGGUGAGAAGAAAAGGCAUCCCAGCUUAUAUUCAGACACAUGGCCUUGAACUCGUAAUAACUCACACAUGUAAGCCACAAUAACUUCAUUUGCAUGCAACCACCUUGAAUGAAUGGUCUCAGUAAAUGUGUCAUUUAUUCUCAAUAUUCUGGAGUGCUGGAAAAAAUGGGGAGUCAAAGGAUCCCUCAGUCUGCUGGUGUGACCUGGGGCACCCAUCCCUGUUCCCUCUCCUCUUACAUGGGAUAAAACCCCAGUGGAGCCGUGUCUCUGGAUCACUGUGAUGGAUUAGGUGUUCUGCUGAGAGCUGGGCUGUCUGCUUAGAAAUCAGCCUCCAGGCCUGACUUUUGGCCUCUGCCCCGCCUGUGGAGUCGGUGCGGGCUCCAGAUUCCAGAGGCGAAGGAUACAUCCUAGUGCCAGCUCAGAUCUGAAACAGGCGUGCCCUUCGUUUUCAGACAACUUCUGUAGCAGAUGAUAUGGUGUGCUCUCAGAUGCUGCUUCAGAGUGAAGGCACUCAUUCCCCGGCUGUCAGGAAGCUGACUGGUGAUGGGUCACAGAUUAAUAGUUUCCUUUGUAUUUCUUUUCCUCCUGGAUCAACCCUGUUCAACAGAAGUAUAUCAAGGCCACAUUUGUGAUUUAAACUUUUCUAGCAGCCAUGAAGGCAUGACUCAUUGGGGAUCAUCUUAGAAUCCUGCUUACCACACACGUUAAAAAAGGUUUAAAGAAGCAAAAUUAGUUUUAAAAAAAUGCGUUGUUAUUAUUUUAUAGAGACAGGGUCUCACUAUGUUUCCUAGGCUGGUC
Molecule: long non-coding RNA, 1554 nt
Filed under: Homo sapiens (human)
Lineage: Eukaryota; Metazoa; Chordata; Mammalia; Primates; Hominidae
Description: HSALNT0403893
Source: RNAcentral